Passer domesticus (house sparrow) is the source of this 1024-nucleotide long non-coding RNA. RefSeq lists it as uncharacterized. NCBI's taxonomy places the organism in Eukaryota, Metazoa, Chordata, Aves, Passeriformes, Passeridae. The transcript is spliced from 4 exons. The record is from RefSeq and is a predicted model, not a curated record.
UAUCGUGCUUUUUGUUUUAUUAGUAGGUUUAUGGUUUGAUUUGUGAUUUGGUGGUUUUCCUUGGUGCUGUUUUCCUUUUGUUUCCGCCUUUUCCCAGUUAUUUCGUCAGCUAGUUUCUAGUUUCUAUUUCUCCAAACUUUACCUGUUUAUUGAAACCGCUUUUCCUCCCUUGGAAUUGUAUUGGUUCACUGCCGUUAUCUCUGCCUAGAAUUUUUACUCCCAACUCUCCUGAUUUGUUGAAAGUUGUGCCUACCCCUGACCUUCCUCCACAUAUAAGUCUUUGUUUGCCCCUUGAUCGGGGUCCCAGGAGAGGAAAAGGGGAAGUUUACCAUCAAAUAAAGUUUUCCUGGGACCAGUGUCCGCUGCCUGUGUUUUAUAUUGCGCCGAAACAAUUGACAACUGGGAUUCAACGGAGCUCCAGGGGGAACCUGCCGCCCCCCCUCUCUUGUCAUCAGCUAGCCGGGGAAAGACAGUGGCAUCAGGUACUGGAAGGUGCAGUAAGAUCUGCCUGGAGCCUUGUCUUCCCCAGCUGUCUCAGCCUGUGUUCACAGAAGAGGUGCUCCAGCCCUUUGAUCAUCUCUGGACUCUCUCGAACAGGAUUCUCUUAAUGCAGCUUCAUUAAUGAAGAAAGGACGAUAUGGAAAUGACCUUUCCCAAGAAAUCAUCUAGACUUAACCACAUGCACUGAGGAAGGAGACCAUUCCUGACAGACACUGGUCUACCUCAAACACUGAAGAACACUUACCGUUUUUCCCUAGCUUUUCUGUUUCAGUCCUCUACCAUCCUACAGAAGAAGAGCUUUUCCCACCACCCCACUAACAAGUAUUUUUUUCCUAGAGGGUUUCCAAGCAGAGUUUGAUUUGGACUGAAAAAACCACCCAGAUCUCCCUGAGGAGCUAGUACAAAAAUGUAAAGGACGUAAUGCACUGUUUGGAUGUGGUUGGGAAGAUGCCAAUGCCAUCAGGUCCACCAUGAGCAGUGACACACUAAUGUUCCAUCUGAUCAUGCAGGUGUUUUCCUGACA